RNAcentral lists this ribosomal RNA (497 nucleotides) under uncultured bacterium. RNAcentral describes it as "partial 16S ribosomal RNA". It matches the Rfam family "Bacterial small subunit ribosomal RNA", at positions 28 to 507 of the family's 1533-position model. The record is from RNAcentral.
GAUGAACGCUGGCGGCGUGCCUAAUACAUGCAAGUCGAGCGAACAGACGAGGAGCUUGCUCCUCUGACGUUAGCGGCGGACGGGUGAGUAACACGUGGAUAACCUACCUAUAAGACUGGGAUAACUUCGGGAAUCCGGAGCUAAUACCGGAUAAUAUAUUGAACCGCAUGGUUCAAUAGUGAAAGACGGUUUUGCUGUCACUUAUAGAUGGAUCCGCGCCGCAUUAGCUAGUUGGUAAGGUAACGGCUUACCAAGGCAACGAUGCGUAGCCGACCUGAGAGGGUGAUCGGCCACACUGGAACUGAGACACGGUCCAGACUCCUACGGGAGGCAGCAGUAGGGAAUCUUCCGCAAUGGGCGAAAGCCUGACGGAGCAACGCCGCGUGAGUGAUGAAGGUCUUCGGACCGUAAAACUCUGUUAUUAGGGAAGAACAAAUGUGUAAGUAACUAUGCACGUCUUGACGGUACCUAAUCAGAAAGCCACGGCUAACUACGUG